AGUGAACGCUGGCGGCAGGCCUAACACAUGCAAGUCGAGCGGCAGCACGGAGAUUGCUUGCGGAUUCAGCUGGCGACGGGCGAGCGGGUGCGAAGUACCUGCCAAGCAACGGGUGCGAGGGGGCGGAAACAGGCGAAAAUACGGCAAAAGCCCUGAGGACGUAAGUGGGGGAGCAUGGGAUCUUCGGACAUCGCGUGAGUGAAGGUCGGAUUAGCUAGUUGGUGGGGUAGAGGGCUACCAAGGCGACGAUCCGUAACUGGUCUGAGAGGAUGAUCAGUCACACUGGAACUGAGACACGGUCCAGACUCCUACGGGAGGCAGCAGUGGGGAAUAUUGGACAAUGGGCGAAAGCCUGAUCCAGCCAUGCCGCGUGUGUGAAGAAGGUCUUCGGCUUGUAAAGCCCUUUUGUUUGGAAGGAAGGGCAGUAAGUUAAUACCUUGCUGUUUUGACGGUACCCAAAGAAUAAGCACCGGCUAACUUCGUG
RNAcentral lists this ribosomal RNA (484 nucleotides) under uncultured bacterium. RNAcentral's name for it is "partial 16S ribosomal RNA". It matches the Rfam family "Bacterial small subunit ribosomal RNA", at positions 30 to 507 of the family's 1533-position model. The record is from RNAcentral.